UACGUAGGGGGCAAGCGUUGUCCGGAAUUAUUGGGCGUAAAGAGCGCGUAGGCGGUCCGGUAAGUCGGUUGGGAAAGUCGGGGGCUCAACCCUCGGAUGCCGAUCGAUACUGGGCGGCUAGAGUCUGGUAGGGGGAUCUGGAAUUCCUGGUGUAGCGGUGGAAUGCGCAGAUAUCAGGAGGAACACCGGUGGCGAAGGCGGGAUCCUGGGCCAGUACUGACGCUGAGGAGCGAAAGCGUGGGGAGCAAACAGG
Molecule: ribosomal RNA, 253 nt
Filed under: uncultured bacterium
Lineage: Bacteria
Description: partial 16S ribosomal RNA
Rfam family: Bacterial small subunit ribosomal RNA
Source: RNAcentral